This 396-nucleotide ribosomal RNA is filed under the name uncultured bacterium. RNAcentral describes it as "partial 16S ribosomal RNA". It matches the Rfam family "Bacterial small subunit ribosomal RNA", at positions 523 to 918 of the family's 1533-position model. The record is from RNAcentral.
AUACGUAGGUGGCAAGCGUUGUCCGGAUUUACUGGGUGUAAAGGGCGCGCAGGCGGGCAAGCAAGUCAGAUGUGAAAUCUCCGGGCUCAACCCGUAAAUUGCAUUUGAAACUGCAGGUCUUGAGUAUCGGAGAGGCAAGCGGAAUUCCUAGUGUAGCGGUGAAAUGCGUAGAUAUUAGGAGGAACACCAGUGGCGAAGGCGGAUUGCUGGACGACAACGGACGGUGAGGCGCGAAAGCGUGGGAAGCAAACAGGAUUAGAUACCCUGGUAGUCCACGCCCUAAACGAUGAAUACUAGGUGUGGGGGGACUGACCCCUUCCGUGCCGGAGUAAACACAAUAAGUAUUCCACCUGGGGAGUACGACCGCAAGGUUGAAACUCAAAUGAAUUGGCGGGG